AGUGAACGCUGGCGGUAGGCCUAACACAUGCAAGUCGAACGGCAGCACAGUAAGAGCUUGCUCUUACGGGUGGCGAGUGGCGGACGGGUGAGGAGUACAUCGGAAUCUACUUUUUCGUGGGGGAUAACGUAGGGAAACUUACGCUAAUACCGCAUACGACCUACGGGUGAAAGCAGGGGAUCUUCGGACCUUGCGCGAUUGAAUGAGCCGAUGUCGGAUUAGCUAGUUGGCGGGGUAAAGGCCCACCAAGGCGACGAUCCGUAGCUGGUCUGAGAGGAUGAUCAGCCACAUUGGAACUGAGACACGGUCCAGACUCCUACGGGAGGCAGCAGUGGGGAAUAUUGGACAAUGGGCGCAAGCCUGAUCCAGCCAGACCGCGUGGGUGAAGAAGGCCUUCGGGUUGUAAAGCCCUUUUGUUGGGAAAGAAAAGCAGCAGGUUAAUACCCCGCUGUUCUGACGGUACCCAAAGAAUAAGCACCGGCUAACUUCGUG
This 492-nucleotide ribosomal RNA is filed under the name uncultured bacterium. Its description in RNAcentral is "partial 16S ribosomal RNA". It matches the Rfam family "Bacterial small subunit ribosomal RNA", at positions 29 to 507 of the family's 1533-position model. The record is from RNAcentral.